GCGGAAGCCUGAUGCAGCGACGCCGCGUGAGGGAUGACGGCCUUCGGGUUGUAAACCUCUUUCAGCAGGGAAGAAGCGUAAGUGACGGUACCUGCAGAAGAAGCGCCGGCUAACUACGUGCCAGCAGCCGCGGUAAUACGUAGGGCGCGAGCGUUGUCCGGAAUUAUUGGGCGUAAAGAGCUCGUAGGCGGCUUGUCGCGUCGGGUGUGAAAGACCGGGGCUUAACUCCGGUUCUGCAUUCGAUACGGGCUAGCUAGAGUUCGGUAGGGGAGAUCGGAAUUCCUGGUGUAGCGGUGAAAUGCGCAGAUAUCAGGAGGAACACCGGUGGCGAAGGCGGAUCUCUGGGCCGAUACUGACGCUGAGGAGCGAAAGCGUGGGGAGCGAACAGGAUUAGAUACCCUGGUAGUCCACGCCGUAAACGGUGGGCACUAGGUGUGGGCGACAUUCCACGUCGUCCGUGCCGCAGCUAACGCAUUAAGUGCCCCGCCUGGGGAGUACGGCCGCAAGGCUAAAACUCAAAGGAAUUG
This 527-nucleotide ribosomal RNA is filed under the name uncultured Streptomyces sp. Its description in RNAcentral is "bacterial SSU rRNA". It matches the Rfam family "Bacterial small subunit ribosomal RNA", at positions 375 to 912 of the family's 1533-position model. The record is from RNAcentral. Lineage: Bacteria; Bacillati; Actinomycetota; Actinomycetes; Kitasatosporales; Streptomycetaceae.